AGCCCUGUAGUGAGUUACACAUUAAAUUGCAAAUUUAAAAGCGUCCCUUAUUUGG
This 55-nucleotide transfer RNA is filed under the name Bavayia periclitata. RNAcentral describes it as "tRNA-Cys". The record is from RNAcentral. Lineage: Eukaryota; Metazoa; Chordata; Lepidosauria; Squamata; Diplodactylidae.